This is a long non-coding RNA of Homalodisca vitripennis (glassy-winged sharpshooter), 15615 nucleotides long. RefSeq lists it as uncharacterized. NCBI's taxonomy places the organism in Eukaryota, Metazoa, Arthropoda, Insecta, Hemiptera, Cicadellidae. The transcript has 3 exons. The record is from RefSeq and is a predicted model, not a curated record.
UUGUUUUCGGUUUUUGCUGUACCCAGUGUGGGUUCAACUGGAAGGUAUAAACCAGCCAGAAGUGAACCCUCCUGGGGGACAAUUAUCUGUAUCAGUUUAGUUUAUAUUUACAUGAUUUUGACGAAAGGAUAAAUUUCAUAACCUGUUUGCAAGUGUACGUUGCAUUUGUUGGCCACACUGGAGUAUACGUCAAAAUAUAAGUACGCUAUACCAAGAUAUCUUCAACGUAAUAUGUAAUUAGCGUCCGCAUCGUGAUACUGGCAAGACUUAAAAACUUCCAAUAUAUUACGCUAAACGUCACAAUAUGUCAGUAAGAAAUUUACUUCUUAUAUGAUUAGAAUACAUACAAAAUUUCUGCACACUUCUACCGUUUGCUGAUAAUACUGCUUUACUCUUUAACCGAUAUUCACUAGAUGUUGAUGUAGGAUAAGAAAACAAUCGAAUUUUCCAGCCAUUCCAUGUGUCAGUAAUGCAGUACAAUCCGAAUUGUUUGGAAUCACAAGAAGUACAGAUUUAAAUUGGAUUGAUCGCGUAGACAAUCUCAGCAAGAAACAAAACCAGUCACUUGGCAGUGGAACAGAUCAUUCCCUUUAAUGUCCAGAAACAGCAAUAAAAUUAAUAUUUACUCUUUGAGUCCCGGUUGUGAUGUAGUCUAGCUACAUUGGGCGGAACUUCUGCAACAAAUCUUCAUCGGUCUCAUUAUACAAAAAAAGUCAUAGAAAACUAACAGGCCUCCAACUUGAUGAAAGCUGCAGAGAAACCUUUAAGUCCUUGGGGAUUCUCAAUGUCAUUUCACUUUACAUCACUACAUGAGGAUCUUCAAAGGAACAGUGAUGUACGUCACUACAAUACAAGAAAUUUGUAAUGUCACAAUGAAAUGAUACUUCACAACCAACAGUCCAAAAGAGGAAAGGGACUGAAGACAAUUUUCCAUGAUCGUUUCUAGACAGACUAAUAUUAAAGUCUAUUUAAUAAAUAAAAAAUGUAUCAAUUAAUUAAUUAUAAAAUGCUGUUUCUUUCAUAUGGGACCAUAUGGCAAAUUUUCUACACUCAUUUUACCAUUGAUUGGUCCAUUCAUUAACAGAUUUAAUAAGUGAAGAACAACCUGUCUUUUAUUUAAUUUUUCACUUUUUUGCUACGUUGAGCAGUUUAACAUUGUGGACUACAGAAAAACGUCAAGUAAACACAAACAGGUUAUUACAAAUAACUUAAAAUAGGCUAACACUUUUGUAAAAUAAGCAAACAAAAGUCAUAUGAUACAUAUUGAAAGAAAUUUGUCAAUGGGACAUAUUUUUGCGGCAGGAGGCGUUUGCAUAAAAGGGCUAAUGUUACUUUAAAGUAUUCAAAUUUUACAAUUAUAGUUUAUUUUGUAAACUAGUCUUCUGAUUGGAGGAUAAUGUUAGUUGCGUCACUAAUUAUGUUUUCUACAUAUAAAAUGUUAUAUCAAGUUACAUUAUGUCAAGUAAUCUAAAUUGCUAUCUUUCCUUUCCACUUGAAUGUGACACUCUGGCGAUUGUGUAUCAUCGGCUAUUUAAUGUCAAUAUUGCUUUAUUAUAGCAUAACGUUUCAAUCUAGUUACCAAGCAGACUGUGCCAAAGCUGUUUUAAUCUUGAUAUUUGAAAAAUUGGCAAAGAAUAUUAUCCAGGCUGUGAAGUUACUCAAAGUUUUUGAUACAACACGGAGCACUGCUGGCGACACUGACUUUGUCGUUUUAAUGAAUUGUGAAUGCUGUGUCGUGUUUAUAUUGAAGAUUAGUUUUAGUGCUUUAUUUCUUUUUUAUAAUAUGAGUUCAUUUUCAAUUAUUGAUCCUGAAAAAUCAUACUAAUCUAUGUCUGCUUUUAAAUAGAGUACAGUAGUAGGCUAUGUUUAGUGUAGCUUUUACUAAAGAAUGUCCUGGGAUCUCAUGGUAGCCAAUAUUUUAUCCCUUGAGCUUGCUUUUUAUAUAUUUUAUUGAAAAUUAAAAACCCAACAUACAAUUUCAAAAAAUCUUAAGUGCUUGAUUAAAAAAAAUGUGUUUUUUUUCAUAUUGUAGUUCAAGCUAACAAAAAUGUAAUUGUUUUAUUGUAGUUUUUUUAUUUUCUAGUAACUGAAGCUCAGUGUAAUGCCUCACCAGAUUUGAAGGAAAACAUAAUUAUUAUGCAGUAAGCCUAAUAAAUGCAUAACAAUAUUUUGUUUAAAAGCCAUGGAUUUUCAUUAAAAAUAAAUUAGUUACAAGGAAACAACAGGGUACAGGAAAUUCAAGUGGAAAGGAAUAAUAACGUUAGUGAAAAUAGUUAGAGCAUGGUAUAUCAGCUCCAGUAGCCUAUUUGAUGAAUACUCGUACGUUUUUUGUUUUGUAAUUACAUGACAACAAUAGUGUUUUUUUUUAAUAGGUAUUUGCUAUUAUUCAUAGUUUAUUAUUUUGUAAGUGGUUGUAGUUUUCUUUAAUACUCGAGUCUUUCUUGAAUAUUUCGAAAAUAAAGAUUCCAUUACUUAAGAGUUUGAAAUGUUUUUUUUUCUUAAAAAAUCAGUUAUGCUUGAUCUUAAGAUCAAUAGACAUUGUGCUUAUUAUUGGAAGAUAUAGUUUAGUGCUUUAUCCUAGUGUUGUUUCCCAUAACUGAUGUAUUGAAUUUAAGUGCUUAUUUUUUUUAGAAGUACCUAAUAUAAGUAUUGAGUUCAGAUAAUAUUAAUUAUGGCCUAACGGGUUUACUUUAUAACGUUUUAACUAAAAUUAUAAGGAGUGGUCUUAUACUACAGGAACUGAUUCAAUGUAAAAACCGCACCUCCAGUGACUUUGUUGAGAGUUAAAAAUAAAAAUUACUAAUAAAAAAACUACUUUGAAAAUGCAAUCACAUAUAUUGAUAGUUAUAUUAACAUAUAGAUAGUAGAAUUGAAACAAAUUCCAGUCCAAGAGGAUGAAAACAGUGUUUAACAUUCGAGAACCUCCUGCAUUUCAGAGAAAUGUUACAAAACAUAACACAUACAUCUUUUGUAUUGCAGGAGUCUUUUUUGAAGGAACUCAUUUGUAAUCAGAAACAUGUAUAGUGGAUUUAACAUUUAAUUGUUCAAUGUAAUUUAACCCUUGCAGUGCCGGAUAUUCAGUUAGACUAUGAAAAAUAUAGGAAAACUUAAAUAGUAUGCAAGGGGUUAAUUUGGAUGAAAAUAUUGGUAAGGAUAUAUAAAACUAAGUAAAAAAGGAAAUGAGGUAAUAACCUAAAAAUACGAAGACGGAGUAAUGAAACUUCCUCAACUAUUCAAUUACACUUCAUAAAUUGUAUAUGUGUUAUUUUUUAACAACUUUUUAAAAAUAAUGGGUUGAUAAAAUUCUUUGCUACAAUAAGAUGACCUUAAGUUUAUAUUGAGAUUAUUAUUAUGUCUAAAAUAUCAUUGUCCCAUUACUUUUUAUAUAUGAAGCCCAGUUUGCAUAACUUGCAUAGGUUAUAAUAAAAAUCUAUUUUAAGAAGUGUAAAAGUGGAAUGUUUCACCACUAGUUUCAAACCGUAUCAGUUUAACCCAGUAUUCUUUACGAAAGCAAUUAAUACGAUGAUUCUGGGGAACUAGACUAAGUAUUAAAUUCAAUUAAUUAUAUUAAUGUUAUAACUAGUAAAGCUUUAUUUAAAUAUUUAUUUACUGUUUAUUAAUUUAUAGUAUUAAUUAUUAUUGAACAAAGCAAACAAACCUCAGUGAAAGUAAUUUAUUGAGCAGAAAUGUCUGAAAACAAAUAACCGUACGAUUACCGUUACUAGAGAUUUUGAAAAAAUUACAUCACAGUAGAAUAAGUUUUACGUACGUAAUCGUUUUGUACCAGUUUGUGAACACCUUGUAACAAGUAGGAUUUGAUAACACCAAAUAAGUACAGGUUUGAUGUGAGUAUAAUAUAGAUACAUUGCUUUUUUACCGUUAAAAUACUCAAAACCGUUGUCAUUUGAAAUUCAACAUGUGGUUUUAUGAUGGUUAUCAGGGUGAUACAGGACAGGGAUAUGGUUGUAGAAGUAGGACGAAAACUUUAAUAAAAUUAAUUUUUUUUAAAUUUUCUAUGAAAAAUUGUGAAUUUUAUCAACACUAACAGUAUUGAAGUUGAAAAAUGAAUAUGUAAAUGAUCAGUUAUAGUAAUAAAAUUGUUUAAAAGUUGUGGAACAUGACAAAAAAAUUAACAGCUACAUGAUCUAAAAUAUACUGUAUCCUUCCAACAUGGCCGACUGAAUUAGUGCUGGCGGCCAUCUUGAUUUUAUCCCCAUAAAAACAAUGUCAAACUUCAAACUCUUUUACAUAUUUAUUUAGCCGUAGAAUCAUGGGAGGUGACUAUAAUUAGGCAGAAAAAUCUUAAAUCUUUUUUAUACUUCAUCAUUUAAAUAUUAAAGAAGUAAACACCUUACAAAAGAAUCUAAGAAGUGUUCGGAUGCUUAUUAAUUAUAUCUGUAAAAUUAGAUUUUUUUUGCAUAAUUUUAUGGCCAAAACUAAGGUUUUAAAAGCGUUUGAAGGUUAAAAUUGUUCUUAAAAGGUAAAACUACUGUCAUUUCACUUCAGAUGGCUUAAUUCAGUGUUCUUAAAUCUCACUAAUUUAGUGUUAAUUAUGAAUGUGCGAGCCUAGAUUAUAUUUAGUAUAAAUAUAAAACAAUGUUAACACUUUGAGUGCGGCUUCCGUAGUUUUCCAGAACAGCAAAACUAUGGAAGUACACAAAUUCUAUAGUUUUAUAUAGUUGACGAUUUAAACUCAAUUAUAUUGCGUAAUCCGUAUUUAUUUUACGGGUUCAGCUUGUCCAUUGGGAUGUUAGUUACAAAAUUAUCGACUAGAAUUCGCACAAUGUACUGAAUCAACCUAUUGAUAAAGCAAAAGCUGUUCAAUUGUUUUGAAAAAUCCCACCGCGUAAAAGAAACGUUUUAAAAUGUGCUAUACUAAAAAUUAUACAUUUGUACGUAAUCAUCAAUGGAUAGAUGCUAUGCCAAAUAAGAAAUUGUAAAAUGGAUGUAAAUAUGUUUAGAUUAUUUUGUAAUCUGUGUAAACGUUUUUUCUUCUAUAGUUGUAAAAACAUUUUUUAAUAAUUUAAUUAUCAACUAAACAUAACAAACAAAGGAAAUGUCAGCAUUUUUUUUUUAUACAGUAUAUUUCUUGAAUUACGGUUUUUUCAAUUAUUUUAAAAAUCCAGCAUUCUCUGAAUAGGGAUAAUUUAAGGUCUGCACUCAAAGUGUUGAAGUAUAUUUUAACAGAACCAUGGUAGUCUGUAAGAAAAUAUCUUGCAGAAUCUGCCACAACGUCUUACGUACUGUUUCAUCAUAAAAAUGGGAAAUAUUUAUUUGGAGUAAUCUUUGUCAACAGUGGAAUGACAUAUUCUUUAAGCCUAUAAGGAGACAGGAUACGCUUACAAAAUGGAUAUUAAUUACUGUAGAAUAUGAUUACUGGUUGUGGUACGACAAAUGUAGACAUCAAGAUGUCUGUUGUUAUCUCAAAUAUAAAAUGUGUCAAGUGAAAAAAAAAACUGUAUUGUAUAAUAGAAUUACAGAAUCGUUCAAUUUGUUUCAUCAUUUUUAUAAAGGUUCUGUUGUAUAUAGGUCUAAUAUUAUCUUUAUUUUUAUAUUUCUUAAAACUUACAUUAUUUGGAAUAUUUAAAAUAUUUCAGGGGGAAAAAUAAUUUAUCCUUCACACCCUGUUCGAGUCCUUCGCUUAACGUUUGUACUGAAUAAAUAUGAACUUAACCAGUGCUUUGAAAAUACUUACAAUCGUUGUGAAUUUUGGAUAAAAUGAGACAGUUUUAUCAUACACACUUUUUUGUAUGAUAAGUUUUCCAAGAAAAAUUCCAAAUUUUGUGAUCUCAUGUGAUAGUAUAUCUGUUAGAUUAGAGUUUUACUGAAAAUCAAAAUUUUCUAUCAUAGUUGUUGUACGUAGAUUUUACGAAAAAUUUUGGAAUCCCCGUCAGUUAUUGUUUACAAUUAAUAUUUUUCUAUCCUGUGAUGAGUAGCUGUCUAGAUGUUGUCAAGUUCGUGGUAAAAGUUUAUAUGUAAACGUUUUUAUUCUGCACUAAACCUUACAAGCACUAAAAGUAAUUCUUGGAAUUUUAAUGUGUAAAUUUGUAGUCAUGGUUCUUUUACUUGUUCUAAACUCUUAGUUGUGAUUGUCAAGAAACAGCUUUAUUAGGAGUGUGGAUUUUUUGUUGUCAUGUGGCACAGAAAACAAUAAACCUAAGCAGACAGUAACAUUACUAUUUUUUAGUUUUUGUUUGUUUUUUUAUAACUUUUUUGUAAACUUCAAAAUAAUGAAAACUUAUUUUCUAAAUAAUAUUUGUUGUAUUUAAAUUUCUGAAAUUUUAAUCUGAUUGUACAAGUGGUAAAACCCAAUUCCAUUGCAGUUGACAUAAGGUGAUUUAAUUCUGUGUGAAAAGGCUCAAUUGCCAACCGUAUGGUAUCUAACCAAUUUUAUUAGUUGCAAAACCAAAAAUAAAUGUACAAUUAUUCAGUUUUUUAAACAAAAUCUCUUGUUCUGAUACAAGAUUUUGUGUUGAAUGAAUAUAAAACAUACUUAAAUCUAACAAAUAAAACAAAUCUGAAUUUUUCUUCAAAACAUAAUAAGAUACUAUAAGAUUACUAUAUAAUAAAGAACACUAUCCAGAGAUUGACUACUGUAGUCUUCCUGUGACAGAAUUCUCCAAACAGGAUACCCCACUACAAACAGCUUGCAGGAAAGUUGGUUGAUUACUACUGAAAACCAGCUGUUGUCAUUAUCUAACAGUCCCGGUGCUGGGCUAUGCUGGUAUCCAUGGACACUGACAAGCUAUUAAGUAAACAUCAUUGACACUAUCUCAUUUGUCAAGUUGGUGGGCUAUACAUUGACUGUAGAUAAAAUCAAUAAUCAGCAUUGACCUUCAAAGAUAAUACUACAGGGUCUAUAUGUUUGUAUGUAUUUUUUUUUUAGAUCAAACUUUCUUGUUCAGUGUCUAUCUGUUUGUAUGUUGUUUAUCAGACUUUCUCGUAUUUUAUCUGUAAACAAAUUUUAAAUAUUUUCAAAACAUUCUAUUUGUUUAUUUGCUUUUCUCCAGUUGUUAAAAAAUAAAAAAUAUUAAUUAAUAUCAAUGAAUAAUAUAAAAAUAUUGGAAACUAUCCUGGCUGUGUACUACGAUUAACAGUUUCUACAGAGUUUUUAGCCAUUGCUUUUGAUUUUAUUUGUUAGUUAUAGGCUAAUACUCGCUUACAAUCAAAUCAACUUUUAUAAAUUGACAAUAUUCAAACUCUGGCCAAAGAAGCAAUACAAAUAUUUGAAAACCACUGAUAAAUUUUACAUGCUAGUGACCAUGCCUGGGAAUCAGAUACAGUUCUCAAUAGGAAACUCCACAAACUAGGAAAUACACUAUUAGGAAAUAGGAGAACACUGUUUAACAGAUUUUUUUUUUAAAUUCAUACUGUUCCUGACCAUGUCUAGACACCCCUGUGGAAUUUGCAACAUUGGAGUAAAAUACCAGGCUAUAUGCUGCACUGGACCCUGCAAUAUGUGGUAUCAUUCCAGGUGCUUACCCUGGUCUGACAAAAAAUUUAAAAAAAAAAACUUACUUCAGAAGAAAUUUUGUCAUGGGUAUUUGAUAGGUGUAAAGAAGGCCUGGAAACCACUUAAACAGGUAUUGGCAAUCUUGAAACCAAAAUACAAAACCUCUCACUGUCUGAUAGCUUGGACCAGGAAACAUCCCUAAUCCUAGCAGCAGAAGUUGGAAAUGCACUGCUUAGUGAGAAUUUACAACUCAAAGAGAAACUCCAUAUGGAAAAAGUUAAAAAAUCUGAAUACCAUCUAGAACUAGAAGACAAAAUAGUAGCGAAAGAAGAACUUAUCAAGGCCCUUACAGUUGAAAAUAAUGAACUUCAAGUUGAACUCAGUCAUUUGAAGAAUAAAUUGGACACCGAACACAAGCUCAAAAAUGAUUUGAUUGAGCAAGCUGAAUCUGAAAAAUCCCAAUUCUCAAAGCAGGUGAAUGAUCUCUUAUCAUGCAAUUCAACUCUUAGAGAAAAAUUAAACAAAUUGAAGGGCAAAUAAAAUUGAAAACACAAAACUUUGACUCUCUAAAUAAACAAAAUGAUAUGAUGUUAGGUAGCAUGAAAACCAUUGAGGAAGAAGUAAAAAUAAAAAACUAUUUGGUAAACCAAAUGACCUCAAAUUGUGAAAAACUGUCUGAUAAACUGAGUGAGCAAGCAAGAACGGCAAGAGAACACCUUGAGGCUCUCUUUAAAGCCUCUAAGCCAAUCCUUAAUGCUGUGAGCUCAUACAAGGCAGAAAAUGACUUUGCAUACAAUACCGUUCUGUCAGACACACUGACGUUUUGUCUGACCGGGAGAAACAGCCAAACUCCGACACAAAAACUGAGCCUUGAGUCAACCGGGAGAACCAGCCAAACUCCGACAAAAAAAACUGAGUCUUGAAUCAACUGGGAGAAACAGCCAAACUCCGACACAAAAACUGAGCCUUGAGCCAACCGGGAGAACCAGCCAAACUCCGACAAAAACAACUGAGUCUUGAAUCAACUGGGAGAAACAGUAAAACUCCGACACAAAAACUGAGCCUUGAGCCAACCGGGAGAAUCAGCCAAACUCCGACAAAAAAACUGAAUCAUAACCUGACCAACAGUAGAUACAGAAAAUCUUACAAAAAUUUCUCCUCUAAGAGGAGUGAGAGAACAAAUUUUUUCAGUGUAUCCCUCCAAGUUUCAAAAAUAGCAGCAAAGUCCAAUUCUAAUCUUGCAGAAGCGGGCCAUAAGAAUCAUGGCCGACCUCUCUUCCCGAGACAGCUGCAGAGAAUCUUUUACUGAACUCGACAUUCUCACUGUGACUUCAAUCUACAUCAUCGAAGUCAUCAUAUAUGCUUCCAAGCAAAACUUCCCGAGAAACAGUGAGGUGCACAACUACUACACUAGACAGGCUCAAGCUCACCGUCUACCAGCUCAUAGAACAACGCUCUUCACCAAAAAACCAUCAUUUGCUGGAAUCAAGCUUCUGAACUCCCUUCCUGAUGCCAUCAAGACCGGCAACGCUAAAACUCUAAAAAGAAGACUACACAAGUGGCUGGUGAAGAACUCUAUCUACAGUCUCGAUGAGUUUUAUGACAUUCUCAACUCCUGACUUGUAAUGUUUUUGUUGUUAAUUUUUGUUCUUUCCUUUCAAUGUUAUGUUUCAUAACUUAUUAUUUUUAUUAUUGAUUGACAACUAUUCUGUUCUUGAUGAUCAUGAAUAAAGCUUUCUGUAUUCUGUAUUCUGUAUUUGAGAGAACAUACUUUGUCUGCCAAAUCAGAUGUAAACCAGAUACUCAAGGGGAAAACUACAAAAACCACCCAUGUAUGCAAAAGAAAAGCCACAAAAUCAAAGUGUAGAAGAAUUUUUUACUGAAAACAUUGAAUAUUACCCCAAAAUUAUAACCAAAAAACAGGACCACGCAGCUAUGCAUCAGCCGCUAUCACCGCGGAUCCCAUCCCUUUUGAAAACUCCACAGCAAGAGAUCCCACGGGCAAGGAGAUACUUCUGACUCACACCGGACUGUAUCCCCACAACUACUACAAGAAUCAGGGAAACAGAUCUUAACACAGGCCGACAUUCACCACUCUGAUUCUUUUUUAGACCACAUAAACCUGAUAAACAGCAAGAUAAAAACUCCCUCAUAACUCAAGAAUAUACUCUCAUUAGGCCCAAAGCGAACAUAACUAUUGGUCACCAAAAUGUUAACUGGCUAACCAACAAACUGGAUAGAGUGACACACUAUUUAAAUGAAGAAAACCCAGACUUAUUUAUUGUCACAGAACAUGGUCUCAACCAGGAAAACCUGCAAAACACCAGGAUAACAAACUACUCCUUAGUUGGCGGUUUCUGUAGACAACUUCAUACAAAGGGAGGUGUAGCUGCAUUUGCUAAGAGUGGUAUGGAAAAUUGUGUCAGGCUAUUAAAAACGAGCAGCCCAGAUUCUGAACUCAUAUGUGAGUCAGCAUUAUAUGAAAUUCGAAGGAAGAAAGGGCCACUUCUAGUAUUAGGAGUUUACCGACAACCUAGUUCAAAUCUUGAUGCAGCACUGAACCAACUCUCAAGUAUGAUAAAUGAUGGCCUAACCACAGAGAAACCAAUGGUGAUAGUGGGAGACAUAAAUGUAGACAUCCAGGAAGAAAAUAAUUAUAGUAAAAAGAUCACAGAGCUGUUAGCAUGCUACAACAUUACCAGACAUAAACCUCCGGCAACAAGAACAACACCAACCUCAUCAACAUCAAUAGACUGGGUAUGUACUAAUCUGCAGCAAAAUGAAAUUAUUACUAAGGUAGUUCAAACAGGCCUCUCAGACCAUACGGCUCAAAUAAUAACCCUAAUUUCCCAAAACAUCUCUAAGCCAACACCCAAAGAAAAAAGAGAGUUUUUAGUGAACAAUCUGUACACCAACUCAAAUUACUCUUAAGCAAUGAAGACUGGACAGAAAUUCAAACAAUACAUAAUGUUGACACAGCCUAUGACUCUUUUUGUAAUGUACUUCAAUGUUCUCUAGAUAUUGCCUGUCCAUAUGUCACUUCAAACAAAAAACGUAAACCAACAAAGUACGUCUGGGAUGAGGAAAGCAAGCUGUUAAGGAGAAUAUAUAUAGAAGCAAAUUAACAGUACCUGCGCUCUGGGCUACCAGAAGACAAAGCAGAAGUAGCAAGAAAGAAAAAGGACUAUGACCUAAAGCUCAAAAAACUUCGUAAAGACCAAAAUGCAGCUUUCAUUGACCAAGCGGGCAACAAAUCAAAAUCAUUAUGGCAGGUCAUAAACCAAGAAAGAAAGGAAAAAAAUGGAAAACUAACCGAAAUGGUGAAUGGUAGGGAUGUGAGAGAACCAAAAGAUAUUGCAAAUAACUUCAAUCAGUUUUUUUCAAACACUGCAGAAAGAACAUUGAAUGAAAAUAACCAAAAACAACCCUACCUCAAAUUUCCACAUUUUAAAACCAAACAUCCUUGAAACACUCUCAGUGUAUCCUGCUACUCCUGAAGAAGUCGAGAAAACUAUAGAUUCCCUCAAACCAAAAACAUCAACUGGAAUUGAUUAAAUUUCAGCCAAACUGGCCAAGAGCUGUAAAGAAGAGGUAGCCAUUCCAUUGACAACCAUAAUAAAAAAAUCAUUUCAACAGGGUAUCUUUCCAUAAAAAUUAAAAAUUGCAAAAGUCUACCCGAAGUUCAAAAAUGGGCCAACCACAGAGAUUAACAGCUACCGCCCCAUUUCUCUACUACCGACCUUCUCAAAAAUUAUUGAAAAAAAUCGCUUUAACUAGAUUACUACUACACCUGGAACAAAACAAUCUACUAACUAAUUACUAACAUGGCUAUUUGAAAGGCAGAUCAACUACUACAGCGCUAAUAUAGCUGAUUGAAAAUAUAAUUGACAAACUGGAAGAGGGCUAUAAGGUGACAAGCCUAUAUCUGGAUUUCAGCAAGGCUUUUGACUGCUUAAAUCAUAACUGCUUACUUGAUAAGUUAAAUGCUCUUGGAGUCACGGAAACAGCACUAGCCUGGUUUGACAGCUAUUUAAGGAGCAGACAACAGAUGGUGGAAGUUGAAUGCCUCUCUAAUAAUACUCUGAAGAAAGCUCAAUCAACUCUAACCCCAAUGCAGAGAGGUGUGCCUCAGGGAUCAGUGUUGGGCCCGGUCCUAUUCCUGCUACUAACAAACGACCUACCAGACCAACUUAAAGAUGCUUGCCAGACUGUUACGUUUGCAGACGACACUGUCUUUACAGUAGCAGAAAAAUCAAAUGAACAACUUGACAUCAACGCCUACAUAGCCUUUAAUAUGACAAAACAAUAUUGCUACUCAAAUGACCUUGUGAUGAACGAGAAAAAGACUCUGCAGAUGAUCUAUAACAUUCGGAAAAAGGAAAUCGAGGCUGGACUAUCUGAACUGAAGAGAGAAGAAAACACAAAGUAUCUCGGAAUAGUGAUCUGGUGAUAGAGACGAGAAUCUGACCUGGCGAACUCAUAUUGACCAACUCUGUAAAAAACUCAGCUCAGGAACAUAUGUAAUCAGACGAACCGAACAAACAAGUGGGAUAAAAACAUCCAAAAUUGCAUAUUUUGCACUUUUUGAAUCCCAUCUAAGGUAUGGCCUGGCAAUAUGGGGUGAAACAACAAGCUCAAAUCUGGAAAGAGUGCUUAUACAGCAAAAACGAGCGAUUAUGAGUCUUGCAGGGUUAAACUACCAAGAUAGCUGUCGAGAAUCUUUCAAAGAACUUAAAAUAUUAACUGUAGUAGCACUGUACAUAAGAGAAAUCAUCUUGUAUGCAGUAAAAACCAACCAAGACAGACACAGAGACCUACAUCAACAUAACACCAGAAACGCAAUAGAUUUCUCACUCCCAACUCACCAUUUGAGUCUUGGGAGGAAGCCUAGACUAUGAAAGGAAGCCUAGGUAUGAAAGGAAGCCUAGCUACAGAGGAGCCUUGUUCUACGUCAAUAUUCUACGAAAGUAACAAAUCACUGCUUAUUAAUCAAUCCUACACUGUCCAUUUCCUUGGCUACCUUUGAUCAGCGAGAUCCCAUCACACCCUGUUCUUCUGAUUUAUCUGGAGUCGAUACUGCAGCUCUGGGUUGGAUGAUUGGUGCCGGAUGGGACGAUGUAUUGGUGGACCCUUCUCUGUCAAUCUGGACAAAUCUGGUCUAAAGUCAUGAUUGAAUAGUCUGUUCAGUUUCUCAACUCCAUCCAUCCCUUGAUAAACCAACUUCUCAUUUUCCCAGGUAAACCUGCAUUUGUCUAUAAUGAGAUGAUCAUAAGAAAUAAUAUUCAUUCCUGUCUUACCCGAUAUUCUGUCGGCUUCAGCUCUAACUGCGAAUAGUCGAGCGCGCUUAUACCGCACUUCUGGUGGCAAGUCUUGAAAUACAACAUAUUCCGAGCCUCUCAGUUGGUGUCGUUUAGAUAGUAUUUCACGUAUAUCUCUCUCAGUUGGUGUCGUUUAGAUAGUAUUUCACGUAUAUCUCUCUCAGUUGGUGUCGUUUAGAUAGUAUUUCACGUAUAUCUUCGUCAUCGGGAAACUGUGCUAAAAUCAAUGAUUUGGUUUUGGUUAUUGGGUAAGCCCGGUUCACCCACAACUUGUUUGACAUGCCAAACAUUUCAUAGCAGAAGUUUAUUACAGCCUCUACGUAGUUAUUCUGAGAUGUAAAUUUUAAACCUUUAAAGAUGAGGUUAUUCCUAAGAGAGUUACUUUCUAAGCUUAAUACUCGUUUCUUCAGGGAAUUAACCUCCUGUUUUAAAGUAGCAUUUUCGUCUUGGAGGCCUGUGAUUUGAGUUGUUACAUUACCAAGGUCCGCCUUUGUCGCAAUAUUUGCUAAUUUUUCAUCAAUUAGUCCUCUUAUAUCGGACACUUGUAAAUGUUGCAAAGUUUCCAUAUUGACUAGUCCGUAGAGUAGACUGGAUUGCUGCUUGAUGAUCUCAAGUUAAACCCCACCAGCAGUGCCAACCUGGUUGUAACAACCGCAGAAACAGAAGUGACACUCUGACAGUGUUAACUGUGUAUAUGGAUGUUCUAAUAACUAUUUUGCUGUUACCUGUAAAUUGCAAAUUUGUCAAUUACGGAAUUUGAAUUGCACACAGGAGUUCAAAGCAUUUUUCAUGAUGAUUUAAACAUCAUGUGUAUACAUAUUUUUCACAUAGUUCCUAAAUGCUAUCUCACGAAAAAAAUUUUUAUUUAUUAUCUCCAGAUAAAUAAUUGACUGCAAAGAUUAAAAUGCGGAAUUUUUGAAACAAAAAAUAUGGCUGUUGAAGCAGAAUUCUUGAAAAGAUUUUCAUAAAUUAUUUGUCACAGUUCUGUGAAGUUGUAAUUUCAAUAUGUAAUGAAUAAACAUAGCUCUUUUGUCAGAAUCGACCUGCAGCUUUCAACAGCAUAAUAUAAAAAGCAACCUGUUUCUUUCCACAGUGAUAAAAAAACUGCUGUUAGAAGAGACAUUUUUCCUUUGAAAAUCCCUGUUUAAGAAUUCAAAACAACUAACAAUAUUCUUUUUUAUAUGUUUUUAAAGAACUGUGGUCAGAUUAAACAAAAUUAAUAUCUGACAAAAUAAGUGUCCGAAAUCAGUAAUAUAUAUAUAUAUAUAUAUAUAUAUAUAUAUAUAUAUAAAUAUUAUUUCUCUAAAGUUAUCUUGAUCCACUUCAUUACCAUUUUUCCUUUUAUUCCUUCACUGUACGAAAUAAAUUAGCCAAUAACAACAACUACACGAUUUUACAGUUCUUCUAUGAUCUAUAAAAAACUAUAGUAAUAUUAAAUUACAUGUUAUUAUUGUGUUAUGUUGCCCAUUAUCAUCUGUGGGGAUUUAGGUUUAUUUAUCGUAAUGCUGUUAUUGUGGCCUUACUUCACUGUCUUUCUUAUUGCGUUAUAAGACCUUAUAUAGCAGAUAAAAAGGUAGUUUUGAGCUAUGAUCAGAAAAAAAAUUAUAUGAAAACAUCAGUGAUGUGGGAUAUUCUUCGAGGUACGUUAAUUAAUAGAUCCAUGUGAAACACCUUUAAAACAGUCCAGAGGAUUGGAUCUUAUGUGAGAUUUUUAUUGUUUUGGAUGAUUUUAAUUUUUACAAGGAAGUAUCUGUAUUUAUGCAUUAUUUGUAAUUAAGUAAUUACCUCAUAUAAAACAAAAUUGUAAUUUAAAAUUUCAAAAUAUUUGAAAAUGUAUAUGAUAAUGAGAAGAUCACCCAAUAAGUUCUUAUAAAAGGCAAAACAAGUUAAUUUAGGUUAUUUUUAAUUUUUUAAACCUUCAGCUUUAAAAGAUUAACUUUUUGGAGCAAGCCGUUCAAAACAUAUGAUGUGGAAAGACUACAAAAGAGGCAUUUAUUUGCAUAACACUGCAGAAACUCAUUAGGGUUGCAAUUGAAAAGUGCAAAUACCUUGUUGCUAACCUCACAAUUGCAUUUAUUCUCUACUCAUACCAACAUGGCUAUUAUCUCUUGGCCAAGAAAAAAGAACUGACACCUUUUUCUGAGUUAGUAAAAAAAUCUAGCAGUGGUAUAUAACUGUUCGUAAGUAAUUUCUUUUAAAUUCUAUAUUUCGUAAAGCUGUUUCGUGACAAAAUGAUAAUCUAAAUCUUGCAUGUUUAUUAUAUUAUCCUUUUGUACUAUGUGACAAGAUUGUAGACUUAUUAUUCAGAGAUGAGAGGUGAGUUGUUAUCAUAUUACAAGUUGUUUUGUUAAUUUAUUGAGGUUAAUUGAACAGUACUGUAUUUGUUAUCGUACUAUAUAUUUUGACUAUUGGUUUUUUACUGUUAAAAAAAUAAAAUGAAUAUAAUUAAAAAUUGAAGAAUGUGUAAUGUUUGAUGUGUAAAACUUAAGAUGCUCAAAACAGAACGGAGAUUGAUUAUACAAUUUUUUACUCCAUGUUCAGUUGUAUAUAAGAUCAUUGAUAGUAGUUAUUGUAUUAAAAUAUUAUUCCUUUUUUUAAUUUACACUAGGAUGUUGAAAACUCAGUGAAAUAAUUUUAGACCUGGAUGAGAAGGUGUAACUUAUUUGAAAGAACGUUUAGAAUUUAGUAUUAAUUGUUUGAUCACAUCAUAUAAAUUGUAAUCUUCAGAUAUCUUCAGACAUAUAUGGUUAUCAGUAUUAAAAUAGUGUCCUUUUGAGGCUGUUUGUCUUUAUUUAUUAAGAUCUCCAAGUGUUCUUCAGCUAAAAUAAAGAAGUUUUGUUUUCA